RNAcentral lists this ribosomal RNA (111 nucleotides) under Sinocyclocheilus anshuiensis. Lineage: Eukaryota; Metazoa; Chordata; Actinopteri; Cypriniformes; Cyprinidae. The record is from RNAcentral.
CUUUGUGGCAGUCCCCGCUUACAUCCUUGUCUGAUCUCAGAAGCUAAGCAGGGUCGGGCCUGUUUAGUACUUGGAUGGGAGACCACCUGGGAAUGCCAGGUGCUGUAAGCU